This 1590-nucleotide ribosomal RNA is filed under the name Triticum aestivum (bread wheat). RNAcentral describes it as "partial small subunit ribosomal RNA". Lineage: Eukaryota; Viridiplantae; Streptophyta; Magnoliopsida; Poales; Poaceae. The record is from RNAcentral.
AUGGCGCCGGAGUCGGGCUCCGGCUCCUCCGCCCCCCUCCUCCGCGCCGGAUCCGGCCACCGCCGCGCCACCGGCGGCUGGAGGUCGGCCCUGUUCAUAAUCUGGGUGGAGGUGGCGGAGCGGUUCGCGUACUACGGCAUCUCCUCCAACCUCAUCAGCUACCUGACCGGCCCGCUCGGGGAGCGCACGGCCGCCGCCGCCGCGGCCGUCAACGCGUGGUCGGGCGCCGCGUCGAUGCUGCCGCUGCUCGGCGCCGCCGUCGCCGACUCGUGGCUCGGCCGGUACCGCACCAUCGUCGCCUCCUCCGUGCUCUACAUCACGGGCCUGGGCAUGCUGACGCUCUCGUCCAUGUUCCCGUCGCCCAAGAGCCAGCACUGCAACGUCUCCGGCGACGGCCGGCGAGAAUGCCCGCCUUCCUCCCUGCAGACGGCCUUCUUCUACGUCUCGCUCUACCUGGUGGCCAUCGCGCAGAGCGGCCACAAGCCCUGCGUGCAGGCCUUCGGCGCCGACCAGUUCGACGUGACGGACCCCGGCGAGUCGUCGUCGCGAGGCUCCUUCUUCAACUGGUGGUACUUCGGGGUCUGCGGGAGCGCCACCGUGACCGUCGCCAUCAUGAGCUACGUCCAGGACAACGUCAGCUGGGGCCUUGGCUUCGGCGUGCCGUGCGUGAUCAUGCUGCUCGCGCUCCUCGUCUUCCUGCUCGGCACCAGGACGUACCGGUUCUACGACUCCGGUGGCGGCGAGGGCGACAGCGCGUUCUCGCGCGUCGGCAAGGCCAUGAAGGCAUGGCGCAAGAGGUCGCCAGAGGGUGACUGCGCAGAGGACGCCGUGCUCAUGGAGGAGGUGCGGGGCCUGGCGAGGCUGUUCCCGAUAUGGGCGACGUGUCUGCUCUACGGCGUGGUGUUCGCGCAGCCGCCGACGCUGUUCACGAAGCAGGCGGCGACGCUCGACCGGAGGAUCGGGUCGUCGUCGUUGGAGGUGCCGCCCGCGGCGGUCCAGUGCUUCUUGGGCGUCAGCGUCAUCACGUGCAUCGUGCUGUACGACCGCGUCCUGGUGCCCGUGGCGCGCAGGAUCACCGGCGUGGCCUCGGGCAUCACCAUGCUCCAGCGGAUCGGCACGGGCAUGGCCCUCGCCCUCUCCGCGCUCGUGGCCGCCGCGCUGGUGGAGAUGAGGCGGCUCGGCGCGGCCAGGGACGCCGGCGUGGUCGAUCAGCCCGGCGAGGUGGUGCCCAUGAGCCUGUGGUGGAUCGUGCCGCAGUACGUGCUCCUGGGCGCGGCGGACGUGUUCGCCAUGGUCGGCAUGCAGGAGUUCUUCUACGACCAGAUGCCCGUGGAGCUCAAGAGCCUCGGGCUCGCGCUCUACCUGAGCGUCCUCGGAGUCGGCAGCUUCAUCAGCAGCUUCCUCAUCUCGGUCAUCGACGGGUUGACGAGGAGGGACGGCGGGACGAGCUGGUUCGCCGACAAUCUCAACAGGGGCCAUCUUGAUUACUUCUACCUGCUCCUCGCUGCUCUCAGCGCGCUGGAGCUUCUUGCUUUCCUCUACUUCUCGGCGAAUUACAUUUACAAGAGAAAGCUUGUCAAUGUUCACUGA